AUGAACGCUAGCGACAGGCCUAACACAUGCAAGUCGAGGGGCAGCACAAGGAGCAAUCUGAGGUGGCGACCGGCGCACGGGUGAGUAACACGUAUGCAACCUGCCUGUAAGCGGGGAAUAACCCGUUGAAAGACGGACUAACACCGCAUAAUACUAAAUUACUGCAUGGUAAUUUAUUUAAACAUUUAUGGCUUACAGAUGGGCAUGCGCAUGAUUAGCUAGUUGGAGAGGUAACGGCUCCCCAAGGCAACGAUCAUUAGGGGUUCUGAGAGGAAGGUCCCCCACACUGGUACUGAGACACGGACCAGACUCCUACGGGAGGCAGCAGUGAGGAAUAUUGGUCAAUGGACGAGAGUCUGAACCAGCCAAGUCGCGUGCAGGAAGAAUGUCCUAUGGACUGUAAACUGCUUUUGCAGGGGAAUAAAGUGCAUCACGUGUGAUGUUUUGUAUGUACUCUGCGAAUAAGGAUCGGCUAACUCCGUGCCAGCAGCAGC
RNAcentral lists this ribosomal RNA (494 nucleotides) under uncultured bacterium. RNAcentral's name for it is "bacterial SSU rRNA". It matches the Rfam family "Bacterial small subunit ribosomal RNA", at positions 29 to 518 of the family's 1533-position model. The record is from RNAcentral.